GAUGAACGCUGGCGGCGUGCCUAAUACAUGCAAGUCGAGCGAACAGACGAGGAGCUUGCUCCUCUGACGUUAGCGGCGGACGGGUGAGUAACACGUGGAUAACCUACCUAUAAGACUGGGAUAACUUCGGGAAACCGGAGCUAAUACCGGAUAACAUGUUGAACCGCAUGGUUCAACAGUGAAAGACGGUCUUGCUGUCACUUAUAGAUGGAUCCGCGCCGCAUUAGCUAGUUGGUAAGGUAACGGCUUACCAAGGCAACGAUGCGUAGCCGACCUGAGAGGGUGAUCGGCCACACUGGAACUGAGACACGCUCCAGACUCCUACGGGAGGCAGCAGUCGGGAAUCUUCCGCAAUGGGCGAAAGCCUGACGGAGCAACGCCGCGUGAGUGAAGAAGGUCUUCGGAUCGUAAAACUCUGUUAUUAGGGAAGAACAAAUGUGUAAGUAACUAUGCACGUCUUGACGGUACCUAAUCAGAAAGCCACGGCUAACUACGUG
RNAcentral lists this ribosomal RNA (497 nucleotides) under uncultured bacterium. Its description in RNAcentral is "partial 16S ribosomal RNA". It matches the Rfam family "Bacterial small subunit ribosomal RNA", at positions 28 to 507 of the family's 1533-position model. The record is from RNAcentral.